RNAcentral lists this small nuclear RNA (331 nucleotides) under Panthera tigris altaica (Amur tiger). RNAcentral's name for it is "7SK RNA (ENSPTIG00000000195.1)". It matches the Rfam family "7SK RNA". Rfam says of the family: 7SK was discovered as an abundant small nuclear RNA in the mid-70s but a possible function has only recently been suggested. Two independent studies have found that 7SK RNA binds the CDK9/cyclin T complex (known as elongation factor P-TEFb). Lineage: Eukaryota; Metazoa; Chordata; Mammalia; Carnivora; Felidae. The record is from Rfam by way of RNAcentral.
GGAUGUGAGGGCGAUUUGGCUGCGACAUCUGUCACCCCAUUGAUCGCCAGGGUUGAUUCGGCUGAUCUGGCUGGCUAGGCGGGUGUCCCCUUCCUCCCUCACCGCUCCAUGUGCGUCCCUCCCGAAGCUGCACGCUCGGUCGAAGAGGAUGACCUUCCCCGAUAGAGGAGGACCAUUCUUCGGUCAAGGGUAUGCUAGUAGCUGCGCUCCCCUGCUAGAACCUCCAAACAAGCUCUCAAGGUCCAUUUGUAGGAGAACGUAGGGUAGUCAAGCUUCCAAGACUCCAGACACAUCCAAAUGAGGCGCUGCACGUGGCAGUCUGCCUUUCUUU